GUGGGGAAUCUUGCGCAAUGGGCGAAAGCCUGACGCAGCCAUGCCGCGUGAAUGAUGAAGGUCUUAGGAUUGUAAAAUUCUUUCACCGGGGACGAUAAUGACGGUACCCGGAGAAGAAGCCCCGGCUAACUUCGUGCCAGCAGCCGCGGUAAUACGAAGGGGGCUAGCGUUGCUCGGAAUUACUGGGCGUAAAGGGCGCGUAGGCGGACAGUUUAGUCAGAGGUGAAAGCCCAGGGCUCAACCUUGGAAUUGCCUUUGAUACUGGCUGUCUUGAGUACGGGAGAGGUGAGUGGAACUACGAGUGUAGAGGUGAAAUUCGUAGAUAUUCGGAAGAACACCAGUGGCGAAGGCGACUCACUGGCCCGUUACUGACGCUGAGGCGCGAAAGCGUGGGGAGCAAACAGGAUUAGAAACCCUGGUAGUCC
This 425-nucleotide ribosomal RNA is filed under the name uncultured bacterium. RNAcentral's name for it is "partial 16S ribosomal RNA". It matches the Rfam family "Bacterial small subunit ribosomal RNA", at positions 354 to 796 of the family's 1533-position model. The record is from RNAcentral.